RNAcentral lists this ribosomal RNA (1102 nucleotides) under uncultured bacterium. Its description in RNAcentral is "bacterial SSU rRNA". It matches the Rfam family "Bacterial small subunit ribosomal RNA", at positions 353 to 1482 of the family's 1533-position model. The record is from RNAcentral.
AGUAGGGAAUAUUAGAAAUGGACGAAAGUCUGAUCUAGCGACACCGCGUGUGCGAUGAAGGCCUUCGGGUUGUAAAGCACUUUUUGGAAGGAAUAGGAAGGAAGGUACUUCCAGAAUAAGUCUCGGCUAACUACGUGCCAGCAGCCGCGGUAACACGUAGGAGGCAAACGUUAUCCGGAUUUACUGGGCGUAAAGCGCGUGUAGGUGGUUCUGUAAGUAGGGCGUGAAAGCUCCCGGCUCAACUGGGAGAGGCCGUUCUAAACUGCAGAGCUAGAGGAUGGUAGAGGGAGGUGGAAUUCCAGGUGUAGCGGUGGAAUGCGCAGAUAUCUGGAGGAACACCAGUGGCGAAAGCGGUCUCCUGGACCAUUCCUGACACUCAGACGCGAAAGCUAGGGUAGCAAACGGGAUUAGAGACCCCGGUAGUCCUAGCCCUAAACGAUGUAGACUAGACGUCGGCGGUGUAAUAGCUGUCGGUGUCCAAGCUAACGCGAUAAGUCUACCGCCUGGGGACUACGGCCGCAAGGUUAAAACUCAAAGGAAUUGACGGGUCCCCGCACAAGCAGCGGAGCGUGUGGUUUAAUUCGUUGCUACACGAAGAACCUUACCUGGGUUUGACAUAGCAGUGGUAGGGAAGAGAAAUCGGACCGACCCUUCGGGGAGCUGUUACAGGUGUUGCAUGGCUGUCGUCAGCUCGUGUCGUGAGAUGUUCGGUUAAGUCCGCUAACGAGCGCAACCCGCGUUGUGUGUUAUAUGUGUCACACAAUACCGCCGGUAUUAAGCCGGAGGAAGGUGCGGAUGACGUCAAGUCAGCAUGACCUUUAUAUCCAGGGCUACACACACGCUACAAUGGACAGUACAACAGGUUGCCAAGCCGCGAGGCGGAGCCAAUCCUCUAAAGCUGUCCUCAGUUCAGAUUGCAGGCUGCAACUCGCCUGCAUGAAGUUGGAGUUGCUAGUGACCGCAGGUCAGCUAUACUGCGGUGAAUACGUUCCCGGGGAUUGUACACACCGCCCGUCAAGUCAUGGAAGCUGGCAACACCUGAAGCCGGUAUCCUAACCCGUAAGGGAGGGAGCUGUCAAAGGUGGGGUCGGUGACUGGGACU